UGGGCAGAGGGGGACCAGAGCGACCGCUGGGAUCAUUGCGAUUGACUGAAUCACGGAACCUGUAAUCCUGAAACUCCUCUCCAACACCCUACGCACGCCACGCGCGGCCGUCCCCCGUCCCCGGCCGGCCGGAUUCUACAGUUUCAGCGCCGGCCCUACUGCGCCCAGGCCGUCGACAGCGCCACGCGAUCCGUUAGCAGCAGGCGCCGGCGGGGGCAGCGAGUCAGUGACAAGCAGUUCACUGCCAGGCCGGCCUGCCGCGAAAAUGCGAAAUGUUGGCUUCGUUCCCGUGUGUCCUCUCCACCUGCUGGCAUGGCGAGUGAUUAUGGCCGCGACGACGCGCGCGACUGUUGCGCUGGGGCACGCAGGCUCAGCUAGCCCGGCCCUUGUUUAGUCACCCCCAACUCCUAACUUUAGCACUAUGCAAAAAGAAGAUUCCCCAUCAAUCAAACUUGCGGUACAUGCAUGAAGUACUAAAUGUAGACGAAAUUAAAAACUAAUUACACAGUUUUGUUGUACUUUGCGACACAAAUCUUUUAAGCCUAAUUAGUCAAUGUUUGGACAAUAAUUCACAAAUACAAACGAAACACUACAGUGUGCUACAAUGCUGUAACAGUAAUUUGGUACCUCCAAACUUUAGCAACUAAACAAGGCCCCGGAUGCUGCGCCCGGCCAGCAAUCUGCAGUGCUGCUACAUACGGCCGUUAGCAGUUAGCCGCAGACGACCGGCCGGCCGGCCUGCCUGCCUGCCGGUCAUCUCGAUCGAAUUCCAGGGUCGCUACUGUGCCUGGCCGAGAGCCUAACGCCUCUCGUCAGGAAGGACCCUGUGCAUAAGCCUCGAGAUCGGCGACUGGCUCCUAGUACU
This 865-nucleotide long non-coding RNA is filed under the name Setaria italica (foxtail millet). RNAcentral describes it as "long non-coding RNA (SITA_LNC002863)". Lineage: Eukaryota; Viridiplantae; Streptophyta; Magnoliopsida; Poales; Poaceae. The record is from RNAcentral.